RNAcentral lists this ribosomal RNA (490 nucleotides) under uncultured bacterium. RNAcentral describes it as "partial 16S ribosomal RNA". It matches the Rfam family "Bacterial small subunit ribosomal RNA", at positions 28 to 507 of the family's 1533-position model. The record is from RNAcentral.
GAUGAACGCUAGCGGCAGGCCUAAUACAUGCAAGUCUAACGGGAUCCAGAUCAAAGCUUGCUUUGGUCUGGUGAGAGUGGCGCACGGGUGCGUAACGCGUGAGCAACCUACCCUUGUCAGGGGGAUAGCCCGGCGAAAGUCGGAUUAAUACCGCAUGACAUCAUUGAGAGGCAUCUUUCGAUGAUCAAAGAUUUAUCGGACAAGGAUGGGCUCGCGUGACAUUAGCUAGUUGGUAAGGUAACGGCUUACCAAGGCUGCGAUGUCUAGGGGCUCUGAGAGGAGAAUCCCCCACACUGGUACUGAGACACGGACCAGACUCCUACGGGAGGCAGCAGUAAGGAAUAUUGGUCAAUGGACGGAAGUCUGAACCAGCCAUGCCGCGUGCAGGAAGACGGCCCUAUGGGUUGUAAACUGCUUUUAUACGGGAACAAACGUCGGUACGUGUACCGGUCUGAGUGUACCGUAAGAAUAAGGAUCGGCUAACUCCGUG